AGAACGAACGCUGGCGGCAGGCCUCAAACAUGCAAGUCUAGGGGGUGUAGCAAUACAUCACCGGCGGACGGGUGCGUAACACGUGGGAAUGUACCUACUGGUUCGGAACAACGCAGGGAAACUUGCGCUAAUACCGAAUAAGCCCGAAAGGGGAAAGAUUUAUCGCCAGUAGAUCAGCCCGCGUAGGAUUAGCUAGUUGGUGGGGUAAUGGCCCACCAAGGCUCCGAUCCUUAGCUGUUCUGAGAGGAAGAUCAGCCACACUGGGACUGAGACACGGCCCAGACUCCUACGGGAGGCAGCAGUUGGGAAUCUUGGACAAUGGGGGAAACCCUGAUCCAGCCAUGCCGCGUGAGUGAUGAAGGCCUUCGGGUUGUAAAACUCUUUCGACGGGGACGAUAAUGACGGUACCCGUAGAAGAAGCUCCGGCUAACUUCGUGCCAGCAGCCGC
RNAcentral lists this ribosomal RNA (448 nucleotides) under uncultured bacterium. RNAcentral describes it as "SSU rRNA". It matches the Rfam family "Bacterial small subunit ribosomal RNA", at positions 26 to 518 of the family's 1533-position model. The record is from RNAcentral.